GUGACCACGCGUACACGCCGGCUCCUCUGCGCCCUCCAUGCCCAGCUGACGACUGCCCGCGACGUUUGCCAGCC
This 74-nucleotide small RNA is filed under the name Xanthomonas pisi. RNAcentral describes it as "sX9 sRNA". It matches the Rfam family "Xanthomonas sRNA sX9". The record is from RNAcentral. Lineage: Bacteria; Pseudomonadati; Pseudomonadota; Gammaproteobacteria; Lysobacterales; Lysobacteraceae.